AUGUUAUCAAGAAAGGUGGAGGGAAUAGACCCGAAGAAGCCUUAGCAACCCUUAAGCAAUUUAAGAAGGUGCUAAAUUCUACUUAAUUUUCGAUUCAUUUAUCGAAACAUUGGAUAGAUAACUC
RNAcentral lists this non-coding RNA (124 nucleotides) under Flavobacterium sp. RNAcentral's name for it is "SAM-I sequence". It matches the Rfam family "SAM riboswitch aptamer (S box leader)". Rfam says of the family: The SAM riboswitch is found upstream of a number of genes which code for proteins involved in methionine or cysteine biosynthesis in Gram-positive bacteria. Lineage: Bacteria; Pseudomonadati; Bacteroidota; Flavobacteriia; Flavobacteriales; Flavobacteriaceae. The record is from RNAcentral.